RNAcentral lists this ribosomal RNA (529 nucleotides) under uncultured bacterium. RNAcentral's name for it is "bacterial SSU rRNA". It matches the Rfam family "Bacterial small subunit ribosomal RNA", at positions 777 to 1307 of the family's 1533-position model. The record is from RNAcentral.
AAUAGAUACCCGGUAGUCCACGCCGUAAACGAUGAGUGCUAAGUGUUAGGGGGUUUCCGCCCCUUAGUGCUGCAGCUAACGCAUUAAGCACUCCGCCUGGGGAGUACGGUCGCAAGACUGAAACUCAAAGGAAUUGACGGGGGCCCGCACAAGCGGUGGAGCAUGUGGUUUAAUUCGAAGCAACGCGAAGAACCUUACCAGGUCUUGACAUCCUCUGACAAUCCUAGAGAUAGGACGUCCCCUUCGGGGGCAGAGUGACAGGUGGUGCAUGGUUGUCGUCAGCUCGUGUCGUGAGAUGUUGGGUUAAGUCCCGCAACGAGCGCAACCCUUGAUCUUAGUUGCCAGCAUUCAGUUGGGCACUCUAAGGUGACUGCCGGUGACAAACCGGAGGAAGGUGGGGAUGACGUCAAAUCAUCAUGCCCCUUAUGACCUGGGCUACACACGUGCUACAAUGGACAGAACAAAGGGCAGCGAAACCGCGAGGUUAAGCCAAUCCCACAAAUCUGUUCUCAGUUCGGAUCGCAGUCUG